This 379-nucleotide ribosomal RNA is filed under the name uncultured bacterium. RNAcentral describes it as "bacterial SSU rRNA". It matches the Rfam family "Bacterial small subunit ribosomal RNA", at positions 30 to 413 of the family's 1533-position model. The record is from RNAcentral.
CCUGAACGCUGGCGGCGUGGUUAAGACAUGCAAGUCGAACGGAUGUAGCAAUACAUCAGUGGCGGACGGGUGAGUAAUGUAUCGCUAAUGUACCCCGGAGACAGGGAUAGCUGCCCGAAAGGGCAGGUAAUCCCAGAUGAUAUAACCUUAUCGCAUGAUGAGGUUCUCAAAUGUAGCAAUAUGCUCUGGGAGCAGGCGAUAUCGUACAGCUUGUUGGUGAGGUAACGGCUCACCAAGGCGACGACGCGUAGCUGGUCUGAGAGGACGACCAGCCACAUUGGGACUGAGACACUGCCCAGACUCCGUACGGGGGCUGCAGUAACGAAUCUUCCGCAAUGCAACGAAAGUGUGACGGAGCGACGCCGCGUGUAGGACGAAG